Molecule: ribosomal RNA, 468 nt
Filed under: uncultured bacterium
Lineage: Bacteria
Description: partial 16S ribosomal RNA
Rfam family: Bacterial small subunit ribosomal RNA
Source: RNAcentral
GACGAACGCUGGCGGCGUGCUUAACACAUGCAAGUCGAACGGAAAGGCCCUGCUUUUGUGGGGUGCUCGAGUGGCGAACGGGUGAGUAACACGUGAGUAACCUGCCCUUGACUUUGGGAUAACUUCAGGAAACUGGGGCUAAUACCGGAUAGGAGCUCCUGCUGCAUGGUGGGGGUUGGAAAGUUUCGGCGGUUGGGGAUGGACUCGCGGCUUAUCAGCUUGUUGGUGGGGUAGUGGCUUACCAAGGCUUUGACGGGUAGCCGGCCUGAGAGGGUGAACGGACACAAUGGGACUGAGAUACGGCCCAGACUCCUACGGGAGGCAGCAGUGGGGAAUAUUGCACAAUGGGCGGAAGCCUGAUGCAGCAACGCCGCGUGCGGGAUGACGGCCUUCGGGUUGUAAACAGAUUUCGCCUGUGACGAAGAGUGAGUGACGGUAAUGGGUAAAGAAGCACCGGCUAACUACGUG